RNAcentral lists this ribosomal RNA (613 nucleotides) under uncultured Bacteroidota bacterium. Its description in RNAcentral is "bacterial SSU rRNA". It matches the Rfam family "Bacterial small subunit ribosomal RNA", at positions 8 to 618 of the family's 1533-position model. The record is from RNAcentral. Lineage: Bacteria; Pseudomonadati; Bacteroidota.
AGAGUUUGAUCCUGGCUCAGGACGAACGCUGGCGGCGGGCUUAACACAUGCAAGUCGAACGAGAAGCUCCGAGCUUGCUUGGAGUGGAAAGUGGCGCACGGGUGAGUAACACGUAGGCAACCUGCCCCUGAGAGUGGGAUAACCAUGGGAAACUAUGGCUAAUACCGCAUAUUGUCUUUUGAACACAUGUUCUUUAGAUGAAAAUUCCGGUGCUCAGGGAUGGGCCUGCGGCAGAUUAGUUUGUUGGUGAGGUAACGGCUCACCAAGACUACGAUCUGUAGCUGGUCUGAGAGGAUGAUCAGCCACACUGGCACUGAGACACGGGCCAGACUCCUACGGGAGGCAGCAGUGAGGAAUAUUGCGCAAUGGGGGAAACCCUGACGCAGCCACGCCGCGUGGAGGAAGACACCCCUAUGGGGCGUAAACUCCUUUUAUAUGAGAAGAAGGCCCUAGUCGCUAGGGUUUGACGGUAUCAUAUGAAUAAGCACCGGCUAACUCCGUGCCAGCAGCCGCGGUAAUACGGAGGGUGCAAGCGUUGUCCGGAUUCACUGGGUGUAAAGGGUGUGUAGGUGGAGCAGCAAGUCAGUGGUGAAAGCCUGCGGCUUAACCGCAG